UACGGAGGGGACUAGCGUUGUUCGGAAUUACUGGGCGUAAAGCGCACGUAGGCGGAUUUGUUAGUCAGGGGUGAAAUCCCGAGGCUCAACCUCGGAACUGCCUUUGAUACUGCAAAUCUCGAGUCCGGAAGAGGUGAGUGGAAUUCCUAGUGUAGAGGUGAAAUUCGUAGAUAUUAGGAAGAACACCAGUGGCGAAGGCGGCUCGCUGGUCCGGUACUGACGCUGAGGUGCGAAAGCGUGGGGAGCAAACAGG
This 253-nucleotide ribosomal RNA is filed under the name uncultured bacterium. Its description in RNAcentral is "partial 16S ribosomal RNA". It matches the Rfam family "Bacterial small subunit ribosomal RNA", at positions 524 to 776 of the family's 1533-position model. The record is from RNAcentral.